UUCGCGGCCUACUAGCUUGUUGGUGGGGUAACGGCCUACCAAGGCGAUUACGGGUAGCCGGCCUGAGAGGGCGACCGGCCACACUGGGACUGAGACACGGCCCAGACUCCUGCGGGAGGCAGCAGUGGGGAAUAUUGCGCAAUGGGCGAAAGCCUGAGGCAGCGACGCCGCGUGGGGGAUGACGGCCUUCGGGUUGUAAACCUCUUUUACCACCAACGCAGGCUCCGGGUUCUCUCGGGGUUGACGGUAGGUGGGGAAUAAGGACCGGCUAACUACGUGCCAGCAGCCGCGGUAAUACGUAGGGUCCGAGCGUUGUCCGGAAUUAUUGGGCGUAAAGAGCUCGUAGGCGGCGUGUCGCGUCUGCUGUGAAAGACCGGGGCUUAACUCCGGUUCUGCAGUGGAUACGGGCAUGCUAGAGGUAGGUAGGGGAGACUGGAAUUCCUGGUGUAGCGGUGAAAUGCGCAGAUAUCAGGAGGAACACCGGUGGCGAAGGCGGGUCUCUGGGCCUUACCUGACGCUGAGGAGCGAAAGCAUGGGGAGCGAACAGGAUUAGAUACCCUGGUAGUCCAUGCCGUAAACGUUGGGCGCUAGGUGUGGGGACUUUCCACGGUUUCGCGCUGCGGUAUGCUAGAACGCAAUAUCAAGCGUGC
Molecule: ribosomal RNA, 650 nt
Filed under: Actinomycetota bacterium
Lineage: Bacteria; Bacillati; Actinomycetota
Description: bacterial SSU rRNA
Rfam family: Bacterial small subunit ribosomal RNA
Source: RNAcentral